GGGGACGAAUGCAAAGCGUCGAGCAGUUAGCCCUUCAAGCUAAAAGUAGCGGGUUCGAGUCCCGCCGUCCCUGCCA
This 76-nucleotide transfer RNA is filed under the name Acidobacteriota bacterium. Its description in RNAcentral is "tRNA-Glu". It matches the Rfam family "tRNA". Rfam says of the family: Transfer RNA (tRNA) molecules are approximately 80 nucleotides in length. Their secondary structure includes four short double-helical elements and three loops (D, anti-codon, and T loops). Lineage: Bacteria; Pseudomonadati; Acidobacteriota. The record is from RNAcentral.